GUUGCCAGCCGCCGCGGUAAUUAGAAACCCGGUAGUCCAAGUGAUGGCCGAUCUUAUUGGGCCUAAAGCGUCCGUAGCUGGCCACGCAAGUCCAUCGGGAAAUCCACCUGCCCAACAGGUGGGCGCCCGGUAGAAACUGCGUGGCUCGGGACCGGAAGGCGCGACGGGUACGUCCGGGGUAGGAGUGAAAUCCCGUAAUCCUGGACGGACCGCCGAUGGCGAAAGCACGUCGCGAGAACGGAUCCGACAGUGAGGGACGAAAGCCAGGGUCUCGAACCGGAUU
Molecule: ribosomal RNA, 283 nt
Filed under: uncultured prokaryote
Description: partial 16S ribosomal RNA
Rfam family: Archaeal small subunit ribosomal RNA
Source: RNAcentral